Molecule: transfer RNA, 74 nt
Filed under: Gordonia sp. (in: high G+C Gram-positive bacteria)
Lineage: Bacteria; Bacillati; Actinomycetota; Actinomycetes; Mycobacteriales; Gordoniaceae
Also listed under: 1 other name
Description: tRNA-Met
Rfam family: tRNA
About the family: Transfer RNA (tRNA) molecules are approximately 80 nucleotides in length. Their secondary structure includes four short double-helical elements and three loops (D, anti-codon, and T loops). Further hydrogen bonds mediate the characteristic L-shaped molecular structure. tRNAs have two regions of fundamental functional importance: the anti-codon, which is responsible for specific mRNA codon recognition, and the 3' end, to which the tRNAs corresponding amino acid is attached (by aminoacyl-tRNA synthetases). tRNAs cope with the degeneracy of the genetic code in two manners: having more than one tRNA (with a specific anti-codon) for a particular amino acid; and 'wobble' base-pairing, i.e. permitting non-standard base-pairing at the 3rd anti-codon position.
Source: RNAcentral
GGCGGUGUAGCUCAGCUGGUUAGAGCGCACGACUCAUAAUCGUGAGGUCCGGGGAUCGAGUCCCCGCACCGCUA